Non-coding RNA from Cricetulus griseus (Chinese hamster), 73 nucleotides. Lineage: Eukaryota; Metazoa; Chordata; Mammalia; Rodentia; Cricetidae. The record is from Rfam.
GGUUCCAUGGUAUAAUGUUGAUCACAUCUGUUUUACAUGCAGAAGGUCCUAGGUUCAAGUCCCAGUGGAACCA